RNAcentral lists this unclassified non-coding RNA (238 nucleotides) under Hevea brasiliensis (rubber tree). Lineage: Eukaryota; Viridiplantae; Streptophyta; Magnoliopsida; Malpighiales; Euphorbiaceae. The record is from RNAcentral.
GAAACUUUUAAUAUGAGUACACCUUUGUGAAUUUUAUUUAUUAAAACCACCAGCAUUCUUGCUCUUGUUGUCACAAUUGCUGUUCCCACGAACACUGUCAUUUUUGUCACACCUACAACAUAAUCAACAGCUCCACCAUCCCUAUCACUUUCAUCAUGCUACCACCGCUACCAUCAUUAGUCCCACCGCCACUACCCUCAUUAUCUGUGCAACCAAAAUUCCUUCUUUUUUUUUCUUU